GAUGAACGCUGGCGGCGUGCUUAACACAUGCAAGUCGAACGGAAAGGCCUCAGCUUGCUGGGGUGCUCGAGUGGCGAACGGGUGAGUAACACGUAGGUGAUCUGCCUUUCACUUCGGGAUAAGCUUGGGAAACUGGGUCUAAUACCGGAUAUUCACGGCACCGUGGUUGGUGUGGUGGAAAGCUUUUGCGGUGGGAGAUGAGCUUGCGGCCUAUCAGCUUGUUGGUGGGGUAAUGGCCUACCAAGGCGGCGACGGGUAGCCGGCCUGAGAGGGUGUGCGGCCACAUUGGGACUGAGAUACGGCCCAGACUCCUACGGGAGGCAGCAGUGGGGAAUUUUGCACAAUGGGCGGAAGCCUGAUGCUGCGACGCCGUGUGGGGGAUGAAGGCCUUCGGGUUGUAAACUCCUUUCGUCAGGGACGAAGUUUGUUUGACGGUACCUGGAUAAGAAGCACCGGCUAACUACGUG
This 467-nucleotide ribosomal RNA is filed under the name uncultured bacterium. RNAcentral describes it as "partial 16S ribosomal RNA". It matches the Rfam family "Bacterial small subunit ribosomal RNA", at positions 28 to 507 of the family's 1533-position model. The record is from RNAcentral.